GCGUUUAGCUCAGCGCGGUAGUGCAUCGGUUUUGUAAACCGAAGGUCGGGAGUUCAAUCCUCUCAACCGGCA
Molecule: transfer RNA, 72 nt
Filed under: Bradyrhizobium erythrophlei
Lineage: Bacteria; Pseudomonadati; Pseudomonadota; Alphaproteobacteria; Hyphomicrobiales; Nitrobacteraceae
Description: tRNA_Thr_TGT
Rfam family: tRNA
About the family: Transfer RNA (tRNA) molecules are approximately 80 nucleotides in length.
Source: RNAcentral